This 74-nucleotide transfer RNA is filed under the name Planctomycetaceae bacterium. Its description in RNAcentral is "tRNA-Arg". It matches the Rfam family "tRNA". From Rfam's summary of the family: Transfer RNA (tRNA) molecules are approximately 80 nucleotides in length. Their secondary structure includes four short double-helical elements and three loops (D, anti-codon, and T loops). Lineage: Bacteria; Pseudomonadati; Planctomycetota; Planctomycetia; Planctomycetales; Planctomycetaceae. The record is from RNAcentral.
GCCCCGGUAGCUCAGUUGGAUAGAGCAUUGGUCUUCUAAACCAAGGGUCGCAGGUUCGAAUCCUGCCCGGGGUG